CUCUUUAAUCUCCCACUCUCUCUAGGUUUUGAAGAGAGAGAAGUGGUGUUGCCUUGUAUUUGAAGGGAGAAGUGGUUUUGUAGAGAGAGAAAUUGCAGUGAACGAGCAUUUCUUCGUAAGAAACCUUUUCACGGGGUUUAAGAACAAAUUGGGUUUUUGUACUCUUGGAGUGCGUGAAUUUUGAACUGCAGAGUAGAUAGAGAACGAAGUUGGGUCUCUUUCUCUCUCUUCGGUUUGUUUGAGAAUUUGCAGCUGCCGUCGUGUAAUGGGUUGCUAUUUUAAGUCAUAGUGGGGCCAUGGGUGACGCUAGUGCAGAGGCUUCUGAUCCCUUAUCUUCUGGAAGUUUAAUGGUGAUAUGAUCUGAGUCAGCCCUCCUUUGUCCAUGUGAUUCCCUGCAACACCUAUAAGGUUCUUCUAUCUUCUAUCCAUUGAUUAGUCCACGCUCCUUCCAUGUUUCUCUUUCUUUUUCAUCACUCCAAUACCUUGCAGCUCCCUUUCUCUCUCAUCGCAAGAACUCCCCUGCGUCUUCUUCCAAAUCCCAUAAUCUCUUCUGACGACUGUGUUUUCUCUCUUAUAAUGAAGACAAAACAAAGAGGGGUUUUGGUCCAAGCCCUUUUCUAGUGGCGUAUGUUGUUGGAACCUCUAGGUUGCUGAUAAUUCAGCUAACCCAAAUCCCAAUCAGUAAAAGAAAGGUUUUCUCUCUGUAGGAUUUCCAGGCUUUCUCUAUAGGUUUUCCUCGCCCUUGGCCUGUCACUGGAGGGUUGAGGUUCUUGGAUCAAAACCAGAUUACCCAAAUCCCUCGGAGAGGCAAAAAAAAAGGCCUUUUUAGGGGAGUUCUGGAAUUUAGAGAAUCCCAGCGUAUUUCAUCCUUCAAAAACCAAAAUACAGUCAUUUCCAGUGCUUUCUAUCUCUAGUCCAAGCCCUUCUUUCUCUCUAGGGUUUUCUCUCUCGACCUGCUGAUGGAUUUCAGCUACCAAGCCUGACGUUCUGGGAUCAGACCCACCUCACGUACCCUCUCUAAAACACGAUACAAAGUCCCUUCUCCCUCCGCCCUGCCGCUCUCUCUCUCUCUCUUUCUCGGCUCAUUCUAAGAUGGACAUCAGCAAUGAGGCGAAGGUGGACUCAUUCUCGAUUGGGCCCUUGACCCUCCUAGGCCGCACUCUCGCCCUCCGCAUCCUUCUCUGCUCUUCCAUUUCUCACCUCCGCUCCCGGCUUCAUCAUUUCCUCAUCUCGUGGACCCCCUUCCUGACCCACUCCCCAAUUGCCUGUGCCCUCUCGUGGCUCCACCCCCGCAACCCCCAGGGCAUCCUCGCAAUCAUAACUAUUCUUGCCCUUGCUCUGCGUCGCUAUGCUGAUGUAAGGUCCCGGGCUGAGGCAGCAUACAGACGGAAAUUUUGGAGGAAUAUGAUGCGGAGUGCCCUGACGUAUGAUGAGUGGUCACACGCAGCCAAGAUGUUGGACAGGGACACGCCGAAGAUGAGUGAGGAGUGUUUGUAUGACGUGGAGUUGGUGAGGAAUAAGCUGAGGGAGCUCAAGCAGAGGAGAAGGGACGGCUCGCUGAGGGAUAUUAUGUUUUGUAUGAGGGCGGACUUGGUGAGGAACCUCGGAAACAUGUGUAACCCCCAAUUGCACAAGGGCAGGCUACAGGUGCCCCGCCUUAUCAAAGACUACAUCGAUGAGGUCUCUACCCAGCUCCGCAUGGUGUGUGACUCCGACUCUGAUGAGCUCCUCCUUGAGGAGAAGCUCUCCUUCAUGCAUGAGACGCGCCAUGCAUUCGGUCGCACCGCCCUCCUCCUCAGCGGCGGUGCUUCCCUCGGCUCCUUCCAUGUUGGUGUAGUUCGCACCCUCGUUGAGAACCGACUUCUCCCACGCAUCAUUGCUGGCUCGAGCGUUGGCUCCAUCAUGUGUGCAGUCGUGGCCACUCGCUCGUGGCCCGAACUCCAAGCCUUCUUCGAGGACUCCCUCCAUUCUUUGCAAUUCUUUGAGCAACUUGGUGGUGUCUUUGCUGUGGUUCGAAGGGUAGCAACCCAAGGGGCGGUGCAUGAGAUUAGACAAUUGCAAAGGAUUUUACGCCACCUUACCGGAAACCUUACUUUUCAAGAGGCUUAUGAUGCGACUGGUCGGGUGCUUGGAAUCACGGUUUGCUCCCUGAGAAGGCACGAGCCACCUAGGUGCCUCAAUUAUUUGACGUCUCCUCAUGUUGUGAUAUGGAGUGCGGUUACAGCUUCGUGUGCAUUUCCGGGCUUGUUUGAGGCCCAGGAGCUUAUGGCAAAAGAUAGGAGUGGGGAGCUUGUGCCAUAUCAUACAUUAUUUCAGGCAGGGCCAGAGGAUUCAACAGGGUCCAUGGCGGGUUCACGUAGGUGGAGGGAUGGGAGCUUGGAGAGUGACUUGCCCAUGGUUCAGCUAAAGGAGCUCUUCAAUGUCAAUCACUUCAUUGUGAGCCAGGCAAACCCCCACAUUGCUCCACUACUGAGGCUCAAGGAGCUUGUAAGGGCUUAUGGGGGUGAUUUUGCAGCAAAGCUUGCUCAUCUGGCGGAAAUGGAGGUGAAGCACAGGUGCAAUCAGAUUUUGGAGUUUGGUUUUCGAUUGGGUGGGCUAGCCAAGCUCUUUGCUCAAGAUUGGGAGGGUGAUGUUACCAUUGUCAUGCCUGCCACACUUGCUCAGUAUUUGAAGAUUAUACAGAACCCAUCUCAAUUGGAGCUGCAAAAGGCCGCCAACCAGGGGAGGAGGUGCACUUGGGAGAAGCUCUCUGCUAUCAAAGCCAAUUGUGGUAUUGAGCUAGUGCUCGACGAGUGUGUGACAUAUCUAAACCACAUGCGCAGGCUCAAGAAGAGUGCUGAGAGGGCUGCUGCUGCCUCACAAGGGGUUGGAAGCUCGAUGAGGUUCAGUGCUUCUCGAAGGAUCCCAUCAUGGAAUUGCAUAGCCAGAGAAAACUCUUCAGGCUCUCUUGAUGAUGAUGCCCAUACCGAUGCUACAUUUCAGCAUGGGUCACACAUGGGAGGCCAUAUUGGCCGCCCCUUCAGGCCUAAUCGUAAUCUCCAUGAUGGUAGUGAUAGUGAGACUGAGAGCACUGACCUUAACUCUUGGACCAGGUCAGGUGGACCUCUAAUGAGAACGGCCUCUGCAAAUAAGUUUGUCAGUUAUGUUCAAAGUUUAGAUAUUGAUGGAGAGGUGAACAAAGCAUGGCCAAAGGAUGAAGUCCUGCAACAUGUAAACAAUACGAAUGAGAUUGAAGCUUCAAUGGAAAACCCCUUGGGGUCAUGUACUAAGGAUGGCUAUUGCAACCAAUGUAAACACUCUUCAGAUAGAAAUUUAGAGAGCCUCGAAUGUGAAGUGGGGAUUAGGGUAGUUCCUUCAUCUACCACAUCAAGCAUUAUGGUUUCAGAAGGGGACCUUUUGCAACCUGAAAGGAUUCAUAAUGGAAUUGUCUUCAGUGUUGUCAAGAAGGAAGACCUGUCUGCUUCUACAACUAGCAAAAGCAGUGACUCUGAGCCCUUAUGCAGUCCUCAGGGUUUGGUGGCUGAGUGUGUUCAGCUUGACCCCCCAGGGAGUAGUGACAUGGAAGGCGAAUCUGACGAUGAUAGUGUUGUGGGGGAUCAUUUCUGAGGAAUGCUUCACCACUCCUAAGUAACUCACAUAAUAAAUCUUUACAAGACAAUUAUUUUGGAAAAGAGGAGAGGGCCUUUUGCAAUGUUCGACUUUGGAGGGCCUUUCCUUGCAAAUUGGGUUUAUUUUAUUGGCUGAUACCCAGGCAAACAGAGAGUUUAGAGCUAGUGUUGGCAAUGGUGUUGAUUGAGGCAUCUGCAUGCCAUGACAUUAUAUCAUCACCGUGUAUCAUUGUAGAUCUUUGAGUGAUCUAUAGAAGUCCUAAAAUGAUUUGUUGAUUGAGGCUCUGUAGAUCAAGUUGUUUUGAUGUUCUCAACGAAUCUAUUGUGAAAGCAGAAUUUUGGGUUUUCAAGGGGUUUGGUGCGGACUUUCAACCAAUGGUGAUCUCAUGAGAGUUUGGACGGAGUGAACUGGAGGGAUUUGAUCAGGGAUUAGUGGCUUGUCUAAUGCCAUUACCUUUUACAUCUUUGCUUCCUUUUGCAUCUUUGCUUCAGAGGGUUGGAAUAGUGUUUGAAAAUCGACCAAGUUGGCCGAGUUACUCUUGCUCGGGCAGUGGCUGAGCCCUAGUUGUCAUGAGUAGGGGGUUCAACUGAUCUUAAAAAAAAAAAAAAAAAGAAUUAUAAAAAAUUCAAAAAAAAAGAAAUCUAUUUUCAUCAUGUUUAUUUAUGUGUUCUAUCUUUUUGGCAAAGAUGACAGUAUUUUGGCCAUGAAUACUUACUCUUACAAUUUUUCCUUUUUUUUGGAUUAUUUCGAAAAUACCCCUUUUCACAAACUGAUUUUUCAAAAUCUAUUUUUGUACUGCUUUUUUAACCUCAUUUCGAUGUGUUUUGUUUAAUCUUAAUUUCAAAAUAUAUUUCCUAUUUUUUUGGUUUUUUUGUAUUUUUUAAAAUUUGUUUAACUCUUCUUUUAUUCUAUAGCACUCGGCCCAACUCGGGCCGAGUUACUCAGACUUGGGCCAGGUACUCGGCUCGGGCAUGGGCGGUGAACUCGGCCCGAGUCGUUCAUUCAAACACUCGGUAGGAAAGGGUUGAACUUCUUGCAUGUGUGGCGUGUCAUUGAUGGCGCCCUCUUCUUUGUGCAGCAUAUGGUUGGUCAAUUCUGAGCUUGGUGGAUCCUAGAUUGCGAGUAGACUUCUCAGGGUUGCCGGUUUUGAUUAUUUCUAUCUUGGCUUUAGAGAGGAGCUUUCAUGCUUGGUUUUGGCUCUAGUUGGUUUGAACCUGGUUCUACACAGUCCUUGCUUGUCGAACUUCCUCCUUUUCUUGUGGUGUUUUGGAUGGAAGACCCCAGCGACCAUUGUCAGAAAGUCCGUGGGUCUUUGGAGCUGGGAAGAACCAAUGUUGGAGCAAGAGGACUUCUUCACUAUGUGAUUUUUAUAGCAUGAACUAGCUCCACACUUUUGUAUUUCCUAAAUUACAUUAGUCAAAUUGUUUGUUGGCUCCAAAGGGUUGCGUAAUCCAUUUUAUCGGGUCUCCUCUUUGUUUAUGAAUGGGGUAAUCUUUAGUUUUAUCAAUCUUUGCUCAUAGAGCUUGAACAUUUGACCAUUCUGCAAGAUGAGUUCAUCUUUUUAUAUUUCUCUGGGAGAUGGAUCAUGUUUUCAAAUCUGUUAGAUAGGUAAACAAUGGCCAUACGAAUAACAGUGCUAAAGAUAAACCCAGGUUUCCAGCUCUCUAGCAUACUAUGUCAUCAUUAAAAGAUUAUUCUCUGUAUUUCUCUGAUUAUUAUCACAUGGAAUGCCUUCAUUGAGAAACAAAUUUGGAUGAAUUGUGUAGUGACAUUUUCUAAGAAUGGUUAAGAAGAUCCAGUGCAGCAUAUGACAUCCAAGUUUGACCCCUAAAACAACACAGUCUAGCACUUUGAUGAUGCCGUCAGUUCAUGGGCUUUCUGUAUUCUCAAUUACAACCAUUUUACUUUUGCUGCCACAUUAUGCCGAAGGUUAACAUUCUUGGUUCUAUAGUGUCACCUAAUACUAACAAGAGCCUCCAGUUCUGGAAUCCAUCUUUGAGCAACCUUCUUUCAUUGAUAUCAUGCAUAUUCUUCUACUGCGUCCCAUAAUCAAAGCUGAUGUUUCUCGCAUAAUGAUGGUUUGCUUUUGGUUAUUUCCUUGAUCACAUUCCCCUCUGUAAAAGUUGAAGCUUAAUUUUGGUCAUUGAGCAUUCAUGACAUACGAUUGAAAUAAUGGAACAUGUAUGAAUAUUCUAGAAAUACAUCACGCACCUUCAUUUAGUUUCUUAUUCAUUUUUGUUUUAUCUGAGGAAUUUGAACUUAAACGCAUGCGAUUGUAUGAGGAAUUUGAAAUUAAAGCAUGCAAUGGUACUCUGCGAUAUGGGCUUGGCUAACAAGGGUAUCCUUGAGGACUAGGCUUGCAAGCCAAUACACAAAGAGUCAUUAGUUCUAGUUUAUCAAAUUAUGACCUACACAUUUUUGUGGUUUUUAAGUACACACAGACUCAUGCAUGCAUAUUCCAUUUACUACGGAGCUUCUCCUGCUGCAUGCCUCCUGCAAAACCGAUUGAACUUUCAUGAUGAAGUUUGAUUUUUCUACUUAUUUUAUCAGAGUGCCUUUGUGUUGAAUCUUACUUUCGAGCGUCGACUAUUAGACAUACGACAUCACAUUAGUCUAUAACAUCUUUUGAUGAGUAAGUAGGGGAUUGGAACCCUCGACGUUACGUUAUAGUUUCACUACCCUAGCCGCAACCCUAGCCGCUGAGCCAAGGGUCCAAACCCUUUGGUCUGCUUGUUUGCACUUUUGGAGCAAUAUUUGAGGUCCGAACCCUUUGGUUAAAUGAUUUUUCUAUUUUUCCAAAAUUGUAAUCGAUCAAAUGGCAAUUUUGUCGUUCAUAAUUUGCUGUCUAGGGUUGUUUGAUUGUUUAAAUUUGAAAUUUUGAAUUCAAUUUGUUAUUGUGUGGUGCGAUGUUGGUGGUGAUGGUGACAGUACAAUGGAGGCAGUAUAGUCGUGGCGGUUGCGGAUAGCAGUGGCAGUGGUGGGGCAGGUGGAGUGGUAGGGCAGGUGGAGUGGUGGGGCAGGUGGAGUGGUGGUGGCUAAUUGGCGAUGGUUAUGGUGGUGAUGAUGGAAUUGGUGGCACAUUUGGUGGCUUGGUAGUGGUGGUGAGUGGUGACAGUGGUGGUGGUGGUGGUGGAGAUGGUGGCUAUGUGGCAAUGGUGGUGGUGGUGGUGGAGGAGCAAUGGUGGUAGUGAUAGUUGUGGUGGUGGACUUGAGAAUUGAGUGGUGGUGGCUAGGCGAUUGUAGUGGUGGAACAAGGGGGGGCGAGGGGUUGUCGGUGGUGGUGAUGGGGUGGUGGCUGGUAAUAGAGAGAUAAAUGAGGCAUGGAAUGGAGCCAGUCCUCGAAGUUCUGGGAGAUAUGUUCCUGGAUCGGGUUUUCGCCUACUGUCCAAGAUUCCCCACCACUGCUCCCAAUGGGAGUCCGGCUGUGUCUCAGUCGCAGUGUGGCUGAUCAUCCAAAAACAUUGAUGGUUUGCUAAAAAUCCAAAGGGCUCAAUAUUUCAAAAUCAGACAAGAUUGAUGUCAAAUUAUUGGUUGCCAAAUUCAAAAUUGGUAUAGAUCGCAAUUUCGCCUGUAAAUCAUAUGGUGCUCGAAUUUCCCUUGCACAGUCCUAUGUCUUGCACUAGCUAAGACUCAUGAUUAACUUGAAGUGUAGACCAUUAUGCCAACUUUUGAGUGUACACUAUUACGCACACCAUACUAUUACACUCACCAUAGAAGUAGCAGCUGUGAAAAAUUCCAGCUAAUGGGGGGAGCAACCCUCGUUCUUCAUCAAUCCACUUUGAGAGUAGGGGUGGCAAUUGGGUCAGGUCAAUCCACCAUCUCCAAUCUGGAUUGAGUCCGGUCCGGGUCGACCCGACCCAGUAUAAAUAUAUAAAAUAUGGAAAAAAUAAAUGUUAUACAUAUAUAAAAUGUUUUUUGUAUUUUAUUUUUUAGACCCAAGUUUGGGUCUAAAUGAAUUGGACCCAACCAAGUCCAGGUCCGUGUCCGGGGUCAGGUCUGAGUCCAUGAGGAAUCUAGUUAGCUUGGGUACGGACCUGACCCGCAUUUGAGAAAGAGGGACUUUGUUGCACUAAAAGGCGCGUAAAGGAUAAAAGACCCAUUUGAGUGUGUGCGUGUGUGUGUGUGUCAGAGAGAGAGAGAGAGAGCCAUAUCUGAUAUAAGUUUGAAGAAUACGUCACAAACUUAUCCUCACAAGCACGUUUGGUUUGCGUGAAAUUGUUUUUUAGAAAACAUUUUCAUUCUCUCAUGUGGUUAAAUGUGAGAAUGUUUUUACAUCAAUUAGUUGCCAAUUGGUGUGAAAAGAUGCACUAAAAUCAAUUGGUAUUAAAAUAUCCCCAUACUUAAAAUAUUUUUUAAAAAACAAUUUCAUGUGAACCAAACGUGCAUAGUUCUCUUUCGAGAACACCCAUCUAAAAGCUAAAGAAACUCGUCACCCUCUUUUAUUCUCUCUCAACACACUGCACUCCAUACUCUCCCUGACGAGGCAUUAUCCAUGUUCACGAGGCCCUUCCCAUUCUUCAGUAUUAGGUGUAAGUUAUCUAUACUACAUUAUUAAGUCAGAGUUAAGGGGAAAAAUAGAAAGGGACCUUAAUUCUAUCGAGGUUAUUGGACACAUCCCUAACUCUAAGGGAUAUCUUCUUCUCAAUCUCUUUAAAUCUUUAGAAAGAGAGAGAUGUAUGUGGGUGUAAUAUGUUGAGAGAGAAACAUCGAAAAAGGAUAUCUUCUCAAUCUCUUAAGUCAGAGUUAAGGGGUGAACACGAGUCGCGAAAAUAAAAGGGACCUUAAUUGUAUAGAGGCUGUAGGGCACAUCCUAACUCUAAGGGCGUGUUUGAUAACAGGAAGUUAGUUCCCAGAUGAUGGAACUUAUCUGUCACUAUUCAUAUUUUGUAUUUGAUUAAAAAAAGGUAAGAUAAAAAUAUAAGUUCAUUUUACUAUUGAUGUUCCACUUUUACAGGUAGAAAAAAUUUCAUAGUAAACCAUGAAACUUGAAAAUAGAACACCCCUCUUCGCACCUGUGCCAUAUUUCUUCACCCCUCUCGCACAGCUAGCCGCUCGCUCGCCCUGUCUCUUGCUCUCUCUCUCUUCUCUUCUUGGAGCUCCCUUCUCUCUGUUCUCUCUCUCACCCUCUGCGAGCAAGAGCUUGAGCAACCAGUGCGAGCAAGAGCAGCAACCUCUCAAUCAGAGUUGUAUGUAGAUUUUUCAAUUUUUUUUCUGUUUUCAGUUUUUUUUUUUUUAAGAAUCCCUGUAAAAAGAUUUAGGGCUUUCCAUAUUUUACAGGGAUUCCUUAAAAUAAUUUGGCGCUUUACCAAUAUUUCCCAAUAUUUGAGAAAUUGGGAAAAAAUGGAAUCCCUGUGAAUUCUGCUUUAAAAAAAUUUGGGGCUUUAGCAAUAUUUCUCUGUUGUAAAUCUGCUGGAUUUUAUUCUAUCUUCUUGUUUCUUGUUCCAUUUCUUUUCAUACACAAGUGACCAAGAUACUUGGAUUUAUUUCAUUGAUUCAUGAUAUUUGAUGCCCUAAAUGUAUGUAAAAAGUAUGCAACCUUGAUUCAUAUAUUUAUGUAUUGGUGAUUCGAGUUUACUGAUUCUAGAGAGCUAUAAUAGUUCUUUAUUUUAUGGCUUGCAAUGGGAGUCAAGAUAAUCUGAUUGAUUUAAUUGAUUCAUGAUAUUUGAUGCCCCAAAUGCAUGUAAAAAAUCAGGAAGCUUGAUUCUUAUAUUUAUGUAUUGGUGAUUCGAGUUUACUGAUUCUAGAGGACUACAAUAGUUCUUUAUUUUGUGGCUUGAAAUGGGAGCCAUGAAAUUUCAGUUUACAGUAUGGAACUUUUAUCUAUUGUUAUUGUCCCUUGAUAAAUAUUUUUUUUCCCUAUUGUGUUUUGGAUUUCCUUUGUUUAUUUAGUGGUUUUUGGUGAUGUUCUGUACAUAACAAAAUUGGGAAUGUUCCUGUAUAAUCUGAUUUAUUUCCUUGAUUCACAGUGGAAUCGAUGAAAAUAUCUCUCCUCUGUACUUUUUCUUCCAUUCUUUCUCUGUCUCUACCCUAACCUACUCCAACAUUUUUUCCUAUUUCCAGUUCUCUCUCAAACCUUUUCUACAUUUGCAACAAGAGAUAAUGAGGGAAAAAGCUAAGCAUGGGCAAAGUAUGCAAGGAGCAAUUACAGUGAGAAAUUGAACUUUUCAUGGAGAGAAAUAAUUGGGAUCCGAUUAAUUUUGAUUUUAUGGGUUUUUUAGAUUUUUUGAAAUGUUGGUUACAGUGAAACAAUCGAGGACUUGUUUACUUUGACAAUUGAAGACAACCGUUGUUGUAGGGGAGGGUUAGACAAAAAUUCAUGACCUUUUUAAAUAGAUGAUUGAAGAGAAGAGUGUUGGAGUUUACAAAGGAGAGAAAAUGUUAAGAGGUAAAGAAGGCAUUUUGAUGGCCUCUCCUUUUGCUCACUAAUGGAGGAUGUCUCUCUCACUUUGAACAACCUUCCUCUCCAAAACAGUUUAGAGAAUUUUCUUGUAGUGCAUGUUUGUAUAUUCAUCACUACUUGGAUGCAUCCAUAUUAUUGAUAUCUUUUAUGAUAUCUGGAUCAUUAUUUUGUUUGAAAUUGGGUUUGAAUGGCUGAAAUUACUGGAAAGCUUGCUUCAAAUCAACUUGAAAGCCCAUUGUUUGCCUUGAGUUUACUCAACAUAUGGUUGUUGCUUGACUUAUGUUGAUUUGAUCUGUGAGAGGUUACAAACUUCAAGUGUAUCUGAUAGUAUGGCUAGACUUAUUCGAAUUAUGUCAUUUGGCCAUGUUAUAAGUCAAUGGUAUGUUAUACCAAUACUAUGGUUUGACAUGCUUAUGUUGCAUUCAGUUUUUGAAGAAUGAGUUUGUUCGUAUUCUUUCUUUGUUCAUGGGUAGGGGAGCCAACGUAGUAAUUAGGAGUGAAAAUGGUGUGGGCUAUGAAUGCUAUAUUCAUAUCGUUUUAUUUUUAUUUCGUAAUCUCAUGUCCUCUUUUAAUAUCCUAUAAAUUUGUGUUGAAGAAGCCAUUUUUCCAAGUAGAUGUACUUAUAUCUUUUGAUAGUUAAUUACUAGCACAUGUUUGCUCUUGAAGGUUGCCUGUGCAUUGAGUGUUAAAAUCUAUUUACAUAUUUGGUAUUAUAUUGGUUGAAUGGAAGGAGCUUUAUUUAAUUACAAAAUGUUAUUUAAAACACUGCAUUUCACACAUCAUAUCAAUGAAAUACAUAAUUAACAGUAUUGUACGCAGAAGAAGGCACUGGUUAUUGUGAUUUAGCUUGUUUCAAAUUCUAUUUUGUUGGUUUUCAUGUGAGCAUCUAUGAAUAUGAGAACACCUUCGGAACCUUUUGUGUGCUAAAUGCUAAACAGUUCAGCAUGCUAAAUUGUGGUCAAUGCAUUCUUCUUCUGAUUUUUUAUGUUGAAUUCUAUGAUGGUUUUACUUUGUACAGUUUUGGCAAAUUCACUGUGGUACUUAGUUCUGGCUUUCUAAGCAUUUUCUCUAUUUAUGUUUGAGCUAUAAUGCCUUGUACUUUUUAUUAUUUAUUUAUGUUUAAUAUUUAGUGCUAUCUAGUUUAAAGAAAUCACCUAACGAGGCUUUAUUAUGACUGCUAAAGACUACCAUAACAAUAUGAGCCAGUGGAACCCUGUAGAGGAGGCCCAAUUCAUUGAUCUCUUGUUGAAAGAGGUCAAGAAGGGGGGGGGGUGAGGAAAGGCGCAUGGAACUGGAUGACAGAGUGUAUGGUAAGUAAUUAUGGGAACUUUUAUGACUUGGAACGGCUGAAGCGUAAGGUCAAGCAGUUUGUAGCAAUGUACAGAGAAGUAAGAAACAUUUUGAGACAUCUAGGUUUUGGCUGGGAUAAGGCUAAUCAAAUGGUGAUUGCCGAACCAGCCAUAUGGGAUCAGUGUACAGCGGUGAGUUGAAAUGCAUUUGUUGUCUAUUUCUUUGUGGUUUUGCAAGUUUAGGUGCAAUGUUCACUCAAAUUCAAUACAUACGUGUGUUCUCCUUACAAGAGUUUACUUAUAUGACAAAGUACAAAGGCAAGUCUUUACCUGUAUACUUCAGCGAAUUGGAGAACAUAUUUGGCACGGAUGGUUCGGAUUGAAGCCAUGUGGAAGGGGGAAGAAAUAGGUAUUGAUGUCUUCCUCAAGGAAUCUCGGCAUCUCAAGACUGUCUUCUUAAGCAUCUAGUCUUUUCUUUCGUUAAAAUUCUAAUUGUUGUCUAAAUAUUUUGUUUUUUAAUGUUGGGAACAUUGUGGGACAAACAACAAUGUUGUUUUAUUGUUGAAUGAGAUAUAUUUUUAUAGGUUAUUGUU
Molecule: non-coding RNA, 11891 nt
Organism: Amborella trichopoda
Lineage: Eukaryota; Viridiplantae; Streptophyta; Magnoliopsida; Amborellales; Amborellaceae
Source: RefSeq, a predicted model, not a curated record